GUGCUUGCUUCAGCAGCACAUAUGCUAAAAUUAGAAAAAUACAGAGAAGAUUAGCAUAGCCCCUGCUCAAGGAUGACACACAAAUCUGUGAAAUGUUCCAAUUAAAA
Neogale vison (American mink) is the source of this 107-nucleotide small nuclear RNA. NCBI's taxonomy places the organism in Eukaryota, Metazoa, Chordata, Mammalia, Carnivora, Mustelidae. The record is from Ensembl.